Molecule: long non-coding RNA, 3829 nt
Filed under: Aquilegia coerulea
Lineage: Eukaryota; Viridiplantae; Streptophyta; Magnoliopsida; Ranunculales; Ranunculaceae
Description: long non-coding RNA (ACOE_LNC001876)
Source: RNAcentral
UUGUUUCUUGAAGUAAUCAAGUGGGAGUUGGAGUGGGAGAGAUGUUCUUGAAGAGGUAUGUUCAUGAAAUUAGACAUUUAUCAUUUAUUUAUUUUGUUAAGGAGGCAGGGCAUUUAUUAUUUUAUUACUUGUUUUGGCUCCUUAUAUAAGCUACUUAGAUAUGAAAUUAUUAGGGUUUUGAAUGUAAUUCUCUUUUAUGCUAUGAUGUUAUUGUUUGGUUAAUAAUUUUUAGGGUAAUUAACAGUUUUACAAAAUAAUUAGCGACAAAUCCCCCACCCCAAGAUAGACAUAACAGUUUGUUUAUUAUAUUGAUGCUCAAAUUGCAUGAUUUUGUGGACAUUGCACUAUUGCAGACAAUUCUCCCAUUAGGGUAUUUUUUUUAGCGCAUAAACAAAAGAAACUUCACACUGUGUUGCAAGUAAUAACUCUUGAACUAAUAAGUUUGUGUGUGAUUUGUUAGAAUGUACUUGUGAUUCUGUUCUUAUCAUGUCAUAACUGAAUGUAGCUUUAGAUAGUGUAGUGUGGGACAACAAAAUCAUUGGACACAGUUUCUGACAUAAACUAUGUCUAGUUAGAUGUUAUAUUGUAGGUUUAUGGAAAAUGAUAUGGGACAAGAGGUUUGAUAGGUUAGGGUUCAGAAGUAUGACUAAUCGUGAGAAAUGUAGAUAGUUUAAGAAAAAAAAAUAUAAGGCUGGUCAAUUUACAACUUUAUUUUGCUCAACGCACUGGUGGAUGCAUAAAAGAGGAGUUAUUUUAUCAGCCGGAGAUUGCUAGAAAGAUAUGGACCACAGUGUUGUGUCAAGACCUAUUUCUGGAAGUGGAACAGCACUCUGUCCAUCUUUGUUUAAGGGAACAUGUGACACAUUCCACCCCUUUCUGCAUGUGAAUCCUACGUUGUUGUUCCUAAAGAGGAAAAAAGAAUCAAUUAGUCAACACAUGAAACCUUCUAGGUCCCAACGGUUUCCAGGUCGGUAUUGGAAUUUCUUGCCUUGAACACAUAACCAUAGCCACUUUCAAUCAAAAGCAAGUGUGGUUAAAGGCGAUUCUUAUCAUAAUACACAUGUUGCCUGAGCUACCUACACUUUGUUGUUGAUGGUUCUUGUACCUAAAAGUUGAGUUUUGGUUGCUGAUAAUUCACUCUGUAAUUUAAAAGAUUAAAUUCUGAAAGAGUUACAAAGGAAAUAGGUUAAACGUACUUCAGACCAUUUUCAUAAACUAUCAUGCAUCACGAGAAUACACAUGAAGUUCAGAAAUAUAGAAGAUCUCAGUCAAAUAUAUGGUCAUUUCUACAGGAACAGAAUGCUUGAGAGUGAAUAUUUCAUGAAAUAAAUUAACACUGAAAUGUAAACGGGGACAUUGUAUUAAUUUGAUGUUUUACUAAUUAAAUGAAAUGUGUAGAGGUGAUAAUAACUAUAGAAGAUUCAUUUUUGUAUUUCUGCAAUGCACAUAUAUUAAUAAUCACUUUUCCCCUGAGAUUGUGCUUUCAAGUUUCAAGCAUUGUUCUUUUGGACUUGUAUUAUUUAUGGUUGGCUCUUUAAUCUUUAUACUAUGUUGAAUAUCUGCAGUAUCAAGCAGGUGACAUUUGGUGGGCAUCAUUUGCGUGUAGUGGGAGGGUCUCACUAGUUUAACGUAAAUGCUUCAGCAGCUUACUGUUCAUUUGAUGUAUUUCGUUCUUUGUAUCUUUGAUACAUGCUGACAUAAAUCCAUAAUCACAUGCAUCCAUCCUCUCUAUGAUCCUCUGCCAAUUUACAGCACGAAGAAAGUCUACCAGUUGUCUGAUAUGACCAGGUACAUGCUCUUAGUCCCAUAGCAGUCCACUUUAAGUGGUAAAUUAUUGGCAAUAGAACAAGGUUAUCCAGUAUAUCUAUGUGUCUGUAUGUGAAUAUCUAUAACAAGAAAUUUGCUGACCAGCAUAAUGUUAGUAUUAGUAAUAAUCAGGUCUAGUGCUUCAAAAAUGGAGAUUGUGCUUGGAUAUUUUGUUUGGGAGAAUAUGUUCUGUUUGAGCGUAGUGGGUUAAGUAAUAAACCAUUCAUGGGGCGAAUAAAGCAAUUCUAUAGAUCAAGGAUAUUGAUUUGGUUUAAAAGCUUGCAACUAGCCAACUAUGAAUUCAAAUCAGUUAUAAAGUAUAAAUUCCAAUCAAGUGGUGAAAGUGACCCUUGUUAAUAUGCAUCGAUAUCCUGUCCCCUUACUUCGCAUUUGAUUUUUUUGGUCUAACUGAAAUAGCAGAGGUAGAGGAAGGUUGGUAUUAUCCAUGACCCCUGCAACACUUUGACACAUCAUUUUCAACCGGUUGGGAUAAUGUCAGUUUGCUUAAGGAUGGAUCAGCAUUACUAUUCCCCAAAUAUGACAAUCUUGAAUUCGUUACGCCAUUUAAAAAAUGGAAUAUGACUAACAUAGAUAAAAACUUGUGCAGAAGAAUUUUUUUUAUCGAUGUUGUAGAGUCAGUGUGAACCCGUCAUAGUUCUUAUCUAUGAGCAUGGAAGGUUCUAGUUGGAAGCAAUUCGAGUGAUCUUUGACUGGUUAACAAUAUCUUCCUCAUAAAAAAAAAAAGUGAAAGCCUAAACUAUAAACUUUUUGGUAACCAUAUCUUUGACUAAUUAUUGGAAGCAAGAAGCUUUCUGUUAUGCAGAAGAAAGGAGAGUUGGGGAGCUAGUCAGUCAAAAAGAAAUAUAGGUAUAAGGGGGAAGUGGGGAGGAGCAAAGGAAAUGUAAGAUAUUGUGUCUUCAUGCAACCAUCGACACCAAGAUUAGUGAAGGCCACUUUGGAGAAAGUGCUUUGGCGGGUUUAACAAGAAAAAGACGAAAGAAUCAAGUAGUUAGAAUUUUUAUAAUGUCAUGAACUGCAUUUGCUGUGCUAUAAUUAUUCCAAGUUGGUGGUGAAAGAAGGGAUCAUUUGACGCACAAGAGACACACACAAAUUAGCAUGGACCACUCUUUCACAAUUAUGUAUCAAAACAUAUCCCCCGAUGUGGAAUGUAACACUAGUACCCUUUUUUUAGUCAAACUCUUAGAAUUUGACCAUUCUGUUUUAUUGGCAUGGUUUGAUAUUUUCUUAUACAAAACUAGGUCUGAACUUACAUUCUGAACAAAUGAAACUGCUAGGUUCUUCAUUUAUGUUCCAAUUAUCUGUUAUUUAUAUCAUAUAUGUCUAGAAUAACACUCUUUAUGAAGAGCAUGUUUUGUCUUACAUUAAUCCUUUAAAAAGAGAAUAGGUUGCAAAUCUCACUGCACAACACAUGGAAAACUUUGCGGUCCCCAUUAUUUUGUUAAUGUUGCUGGUAGUUUAUAUGAAAUGUGGUAGUGCUAGUACUUGAAAUGGAAGAAAACUAUGUUUAUUAUCAAUAUACUUGUACUCAGCACAGCUUCGCAUUUUCGUCUGUAGUACUACAUGCAACAGCACUCGUACCUCAUUUUUAGUCUCUUUGAGUUAAAAAUUAUCAGAAGUUCAGUUAUUUAUUCAAAUGUACAUAUGCAGAUAAAACAAACUCCGCCAGAGUUCCCUUUGAGGAGGAGAUAUUCAAAGAGAGCUGCCAACAUUUCAGACCUCAAAGGGAUCCUACGCGAUUUAAGAGGUUCUUAAUUUUUUUUUUUUGUUAACAAGGUUAUGUAAUUUUCAGAUUAGAAUCUAUGUAAUCAAACAUGUAAAAAAAACCCUGAUAUAUUCAGGUUUGCUUAUGCGACAAGACAAUAGAAGAUGGAAAGUUAAUUUAAAGCUUUUGACCCCCAAGCAUUUGGUGUAUCAGUGUAUCUAUGACAAUCAGGGAUAUUAUAUGCUCACAAGUUUCACAUACUGUAGUCAUUACCAUUUUUGCAAUAACUCAAAGUAUAGA